GGUGGGAGGGUGGAUAGUUCAUUUGCCCUCAUCUAUUUCAGGUGUGGAGCCAAUUAGCAGCCAUUUGCAGGAUGGCUGUGUUAGAGCUGCUGCUUUCUUCUAAACUCUGGAACGGUUUUGUUCUCUGGUUAGCAUUUAGUGAGACGGGAAUCUACGUUUCUCUUCGCCCUCUGCAUUAGGUUUCCUUGUUUACUCGGUAAUGUGGUACAUACUUCUGUUUCCAUCCCACGGAGUUGAGCUGUUCGGUGAUGUUUGCCGUUAUCUGUGAUUUUGGUGGCGUUCCUGAUGGGCUUUUACACGAUGUGCCCAUCCUGAAGGUGUUGUGGGUGUCUUAUUUAAAAACAAAACAAAAUCUACAACUUCUCAGAUGCUCACAGACUUUCUGAGGUUAAAUACUUCAGUAGUAUUCAGUACUUCAGUGUUGGUAAAUCUUUCAGAUGGUGCUGUGAAUGAUCACCUGUACAUCCUGGAGUAGUCAGAGCAUUAAAGACAAACAUUUCAUGUAUGGUUUUUGAAAAUUGGAACCGUAUAAAUCCAAAAUGGAAAAGGUCUUCUAGAGGUGGUCCCAGCAGAGGUCAAAGAUCUCUAUUAAGUGCUUUGGGAUGGGUUUUAUGCGCACUGAGGUUUGUUUUGAGUCACAGGAGCUCUGGAAGGCAAUCCUCCCUGUACGUGGCAGAGGGGUUGGUGCCUGGCUGUGCCGCUGCCCCUCAACAAAGUGUUUCUGGGCUGCGGGAAAUGCCAGUGUGGCAGUUUCAUACCAAGGCGUUUGAUCCUAUCUUCAAUCAAAGGCUUUUCCAAUCCAAGGCACUGAGAUCUCCAGGACUGUUUAUCCAACUGCUGUCCCUUUGGUGGGGAGCAGAUGCUCCAUUGAUGAACUUCUGUAAAUUCUGGAGCAAACUUGGGAUUCCUCAGAGAUGCAAAAUAUUCACUAUUGCCUCAAGUGGUGAUGUAGAACAUCCAUCCUGUGGUUCUCUGCGUUUUCCUGCAGAUGUACCCACUGCUGUCCUGCAGUAGGGGGCAGCUCCCUGCUGGUGGGCAUUGCGAGCAUCCCGGCAGAACGAGGAGAGCCAGAAACGAGAGUGCUGCAGGCUGGGUGCGCCAUAGUGCUGCUACACUGGGGUUCUCUUGAAAUUCCUUCCCUUUAAUUGCUGUGCUUAUUAAAAAAUAGCAAUUUUCAGUAAGCUUCUGUAAAAACUGUGGAAGCAUAUUUGUUCAAAUGUUUUUUUAAAAAUAAUAAGCUCUCAAAAUUAGAGCUCCUACAGCAAAGGUAUCCUCAGUGCGAUACCUCAGGUCUGUCAGUACUGGUAUCAAUUGUUAGACUUUACAUUUAAUUCUAAGCAGGUUAAUAAAAUACAUUAAUU
Gallus gallus (chicken) is the source of this 1361-nucleotide long non-coding RNA. The record is from Ensembl. NCBI's taxonomy places the organism in Eukaryota, Metazoa, Chordata, Aves, Galliformes, Phasianidae.